Molecule: unclassified non-coding RNA, 564 nt
Filed under: Gillenia trifoliata (Bowman's root)
Lineage: Eukaryota; Viridiplantae; Streptophyta; Magnoliopsida; Rosales; Rosaceae
Description: external transcribed spacer
Source: RNAcentral
UUUUCAUGCCUAGCGGUGCGGCUUGGCUCCUACCCGGCGUAUUGCACUCGAGACGCAUCCCUUUAUUGGGCUAGUUGAGACGUGUGGUUCGUUGGGCGGUGCUGGGCUUAGCUAACGUGACGGCGUAUGAGUGGUAAUUGGGUUGUAUGCGUCGGCAGGCUCCGUGCUCUGGCAUCGAACUGUCGACUCGCACCCCGCUUCAGUGAUGCGUCGAGAAUUUUGCUUGGGCGAGCGUUGGGUUCCUGUUUUGGCUGCCUGCUGUAAAGGAAUGUUGCCUCUCGUUGUCCCUUUCGUCCUCUGGCCGCCCUCGGCGGCAGGAGGACGACACCGUAGCGGCGCUCGUGUCCCGAACAAGCCACACGCGUUGUGGGAUUGCGACGGUCCUCGAGCUGCCCGCUCGACGUCUCGGAUGCGGAACACUCAAAGGGGCGGUGGGUCUCAACGGCCUCCGAUCGCCCGUUCGAAAGCCUUUGUCGCUUGACGCGAACGACUGCCGCGCCCGUUGCGGGCUCUCGACCUUCAAGGUCGUCCGUCCCGCGCGGCGCCGGCGUCGAAGAGGAAUGC